AUUAAAAUAUAUGAAAAGGCAUAAAAAUAUCAAAAAAGAUAUAUUCAUUUGUUAUUAGAGGGAACAUUUUUUUCGUCAGCCGCUUAAAUUCUGAUUCUGCUCUAUUGGAUAUUUCUAUAAAUACAAUAAAUAAUUUAAUGCAGUUAUAUUCAAUAUUUCCUUAAACUCUGUCGUCCACUUAUAUAACUGUUUUGUUGUUGUGGCCGCAUUAAAAUCGCCUAGUGGCCGCAUUUGAGAACUGCUCACCUAAAUUUCCUAGAAAAAUAUGCUUAAAUAAUUAACACGGUAGUAUUUUUGGAUGCAAUUUAAAGUUAUAAUGAAAUCCUGCCUUUAACAACAACCAAUAUUGUCGGCCAGAUUGCGCGGUGAAGCGUGCUAUAUUUUAUCUCUGGAGAAUUUAGGUUCAAUUCUCCGGUUCAUCUCCAGUUUCCUCAGAAAGGAUCCUAUCCUGCUUAAUUGAAACCCAUUCUCCAUCUGCCAGUUGAUACUACCAAUGGUAUGGCAGCCUCUGAUGGACACUAUAAUAUCUCGCUGCUGGUGGCCGCAUGGUAACACAAUGGCAUGCCUUGCAGAAGAACUCGUAUUCGCGUCCCGGGUCCGGCAUCUCCUGAAAAGUUUUUUCAGAGUUUUGAGUCCAGCCCGACGAUUCCCGUCCUUCACCAUCCGAUCUCUCUCCACGGAUGUGAUGCAGCCCGAGGUUGGAACUGGCCCCGCCUCUUAAUAAUCUCACUGAUUGGAAACGGGCAUAAAACAGCAAAAAAAAAAAAUUCUG
RNAcentral lists this long non-coding RNA (772 nucleotides) under Androctonus crassicauda. The record is from RNAcentral. Lineage: Eukaryota; Metazoa; Arthropoda; Arachnida; Scorpiones; Buthidae.